This 444-nucleotide ribosomal RNA is filed under the name uncultured bacterium. RNAcentral's name for it is "SSU rRNA". It matches the Rfam family "Bacterial small subunit ribosomal RNA", at positions 26 to 518 of the family's 1533-position model. The record is from RNAcentral.
AGGACGAACGCUGGCGGCACGCCUAACACAUGCAAGUCGAGCGCCCAGCAAUGGGAGCGGCGGACGGGUGAGUAACACGUGGGAACAUGCCUUUCGGUACGGAACAACUGCGGGAAACUGCAGCUAAUGCCGUAUACGCCCUUACGGGGAAAGAUUUAUCGCCGAAAGAUUGGCCCGCGUCUGAUUAGCUAGUUGGUGAGGUAACGGCUCACCAAGGCUUCGAUCAGUAGCUGGUUUGAGAGAACGACCAGCCACAUUGGGACUGAGACACGGCCCAAACUCCUACGGGAGGCAGCAGUGGGGAAUCUUGGACAAUGGGGGAAACCCUGAUCCAGCGAUGCCGCGUGAGUGAUGAAGGCCUUCGGGUUGUAAAACUCUUUCGACGGGGACGAUAAUGACGGUACCCGUAGAAGAAGCUCCGGCUAACUUCGUGCCAGCAGCCGC